Aedes albopictus (Asian tiger mosquito) is the source of this 487-nucleotide long non-coding RNA. RefSeq lists it as uncharacterized. Lineage: Eukaryota; Metazoa; Arthropoda; Insecta; Diptera; Culicidae. The transcript is spliced from 2 exons. The record is from RefSeq and is a predicted model, not a curated record.
CUUAUGUAUGAGAUUCUUCUAUGAAAGGACAUGUCAAAAAAAAAAAAUCAGUGGGCAGUAUACAAUGUUUGCAUGCUAGCUGUCAUUGAAAACAUUUGAGAAGAGGAAAGCAAUUCAAUUAAUUCAUCAGCAAAGGUACAACCACAAGUAACGGCCAAGUAAUUUACCAAAAUGCCGAGCAGAGAUGGAUGACCAAAUGGAUGACUGUACUUCUAAUUCUGAUGUGAGACUGAAGCGAGACGUUCAUAAACUGAGGAGACUAUAAGCGAAACAACGUGGAGUGACCUUGCUGCGGAUCUGGAGAAAAAACGAGAUGUGGUACCUUGUGGUAUGCACAUAAUAAAUUAUUGUAUUACUCUAUUACGUUUAGCGUGUAUGUUUACAUUGAGUAUCUGUCAUAUGCGGAGAUAUUGUUAUUGUUGUCUGGAGUGUGAAUCAUUGUAUGUAAUAUUGAAGUAUCGGUAAUAAAGUGUAUACAAAUAAUGAA